Molecule: ribosomal RNA, 450 nt
Filed under: uncultured bacterium
Lineage: Bacteria
Description: partial 16S ribosomal RNA
Rfam family: Bacterial small subunit ribosomal RNA
Source: RNAcentral
UGGGGAAUUUUGGACAAUGGGGGAAACCCUGAUCCAGCCAUCCCGCGUGUGCGAUGAAGGCCUUCGGGUUGUAAAGCACUUUUGGCAGGAAAGAAACGUCGCGGGUUAAUACCCCCGCNAAACUGACGGUACCUGCAGAAUAAGCACCGGCUAACUACGUGCCAGCAGCCGCGGUAAUACGUAGGGUGCAAGCGUUAAUCGGAAUUACUGGGCGUAAAGCGUGCGCAGGCGGUUCGGAAAGAAAGAUGUGAAAUCCCAGAGCUUAACUUUGGAACUGCAUUUUUAACUACCGGGCUAGAGUGUGUCAGAGGGAGGUGGAAUUCCGCGUGUAGCAGUGAAAUGCGUAGAUAUGCGGAGGAACACCGAUGGCGAAGGCAGCCUCCUGGGAUAACACUGACGCUCAUGCACGAAAGCGUGGGGAGCAAACAGGAUUAGAUACCCUGGUAGUCC